GUGGGGAAUUUUGGACAAUGGGGGCAACCCUGAUCCAGCAAUGCCGCGUGCAGGAAGAAGGCCUUCGGGUUGUAAACUGCUUUUGUACGGAACGAAACGGUCCUGGUUAAUACCUGGGGCUAAUGACGGUACCGUAAGAAUAAGCACCGGCUAACUACGUGCCAGCAGCCGCGGUAAUACGUAGGGUGCAAGCGUUAAUCGGAAUUACUGGGCGUAAAGCGUGCGCAGGCGGUUUUGUAAGACAGGCGUGAAAUCCCCGGGCUCAACCUGGGAAUGGCGCUUGUGACUGCAAGGCUGGAGUGCGGCAGAGGGGGAUGGAAUUCCGCGUGUAGCAGUGAAAUGCGUAGAUAUGCGGAGGAACACCGAUGGCGAAGGCAAUCCCCUGGGCCUGCACUGACGCUCAUGCACGAAAGCGUGGGGAGCAAACAGGAUUAGAAACCCGGGUAGUCC
This 450-nucleotide ribosomal RNA is filed under the name uncultured bacterium. RNAcentral describes it as "partial 16S ribosomal RNA". It matches the Rfam family "Bacterial small subunit ribosomal RNA", at positions 354 to 796 of the family's 1533-position model. The record is from RNAcentral.